Molecule: long non-coding RNA, 1573 nt
Organism: Rosa rugosa (rugosa rose)
Lineage: Eukaryota; Viridiplantae; Streptophyta; Magnoliopsida; Rosales; Rosaceae
Exons: 5
Source: RefSeq, a predicted model, not a curated record
ACUCCCCUACCGUCCAGCAAGGCAGCAACCAGUCUCCGCCUCCAGCCUCCAGCAACCCUGAUCUCUCUCUCCUUCCCCGAGUCUCCGUUUUCUUCUGCUCCUCGGCGACUGGCGACUGGCGACGGAUCGGUCGGCUCCUCGCGACCUCGCCUCCUCCAGUCUUCAAUUCUUGAUAAGUUCUUCUCAUCAUCUGGAGUUGUGCACUUCUGCUGUUCUGGGUGACUGGAUUCAUGAUAAGCAGUGAGGUCAAUUGCACUCUCUCAGGUGAUGGGAAAUAAUGAUGUACCUAUUGAGGAAGAGAAGCAGGUCUUAGUCAACCUUGUUGUAGUCAAGGAAAAUGAGCAAUAUGAGUUUUCUUCAUUUCGGCCAUAUCAAAAGAAUCGAAAGUGAUUGAGAAAAUCAUAGCAGGAAGGGACUGUUUGAUUGUCUUGGCCACUGGAAGUGCCAAGUCUUUGUGGUAAGAGUUCCCUCUAAUUCCUUGUGUAGCUGAGAAUGAACCAAAAAGGUAGGAGUCAGAAGAUUAUUGAUUGUCUUUAUAAAAUUGUGGAUAAGUGCGUGAGAGCUCUUAUCAUAUUAUAAGUCUAUUGGAAUUUUGGAAUAAUGAGUCUUAUUUUGUGUAGUAUAAAAAGAUCUUCAUUAAUCGAUUACAUAUGUAUCGAGACAAAUGAUAAUUAGCUGGUACUUAGUCCUUCUCAGUAGUAUUUCCUUGACAUUGGACCCAUCAAAACUUUGGAGCAGAUAGCUGAUUUCACUACAAAAAAGAAUUCAAUUAGCUUCACCAAUUCUUGAUAAUUAUCAUUACUCUUCUGAGUUGGAUUCCUUAUUAGUGCAUGUAUAGCCUUUAGAUUUUAUGUUUAUGGAUGCAUAUAACAUCAACUUUGAUGCAAUCAGAAGCCGAUGAUGGGUAUAGGUGGACUGUAUGAUGUUUAUGUUUGCGAACGUUAAUGUGUCAAUAACUAUAUCAGCACUCCUAGCUUUCCGUCACUUUUAUGGUGCUCGGGCUUGUCCUCAUAAUGUGGUUCCUUCAGGCUAUGAUUCCCUUCUUGGAAAGGUUUGAGCCCCAAAAAACCCAUGUAUAGCCAUCAUUGCUUGUAUAAAUAAUUAAAUAUAAGUAUAAAAAUGUAGCUUUCAGGUUCUUUUUCUAAUUACUUUGUCAACACUGUUUUUUAAAUAGCUUAUUGUUUGGGCAGCAACAAGAGAAAAGUCAAUUUCUUGGAUGAAAAGAGCUCUUACCAACACUAUUAUAACAGUUUAUUACAGUGGGAGUCCAGUUUUGCGACAAGGAAGAACAUAUAUCAAGGUCUGCAUUGGCUAUUUUCCAUGUCUAGGAGAAAGAGAUUGAGAGGAAGAAGUUGGAGGUGAGAGACAGGGUUCAGGCUCAGCUGGGACGAGUUGAAGAAGCAACUAGGUGCUUAGCUGACAUGCACGAAGCAAGUAAACUGCGAUUGCCACUAAAUCAUGAUAUUGUCCAGGUUUAAAGCAUCCAUUAUGUUUCACAGCAUCUUCAAGUUCUUGGGAGGUCCCGGCAAGGCUUAUCUUGAAGUAUAGGAAAAAAAAACUACCUUGUAUUAUC